AUGUAUUCACUUAACGUUGAUGAUGGUGAUGGCAGCUUGCAGUUGUCUGUUACUCAGUCUCAAAGUGUUGAUGGCACUAAGCCUGUUACCCAAGCUAAGGAUGUUCCUAUGCAGUUACAGCUCGAGGAUGAAAGGAUAAGAAAGAAGAAGUAUGAAUUCCAGAAGAGAAAGGAAUUGGAAUGGCGUCAAAAGGCUGCCUGUGUGCAAGAAAGUGAUGUUGAUGUUGCGCAAGCUCCUAAAUGUACAAACUUGAUGCAAACUCGUUUGACGCAAGUGUUUGAUCAUGAUGGAGUUAAGGAGAAGAAAGCUGUUUUGAAGAGGAAGAUGUCAGAUUGA
This 336-nucleotide ribosomal RNA is filed under the name Triticum aestivum (bread wheat). Its description in RNAcentral is "partial small subunit ribosomal RNA". Lineage: Eukaryota; Viridiplantae; Streptophyta; Magnoliopsida; Poales; Poaceae. The record is from RNAcentral.